RNAcentral lists this transfer RNA (69 nucleotides) under Ictidomys tridecemlineatus (thirteen-lined ground squirrel). RNAcentral's name for it is "Spermophilus tridecemlineatus (thirteen-lined ground squirrel) tRNA". It matches the Rfam family "tRNA". From Rfam's summary of the family: Transfer RNA (tRNA) molecules are approximately 80 nucleotides in length. The record is from Rfam by way of RNAcentral. Lineage: Eukaryota; Metazoa; Chordata; Mammalia; Rodentia; Sciuridae.
GGUGCUGUAGCUUAGUGGUAGAGCUCAUGUCUUGUAUGUGUGAGGAACUGGGUUUGAUCCUCAGCACUA